This is a transfer RNA of Ipomoea nil (Japanese morning glory), 73 nucleotides long. It matches the Rfam family "tRNA". Rfam says of the family: Transfer RNA (tRNA) molecules are approximately 80 nucleotides in length. Their secondary structure includes four short double-helical elements and three loops (D, anti-codon, and T loops). The record is from Rfam. NCBI's taxonomy places the organism in Eukaryota, Viridiplantae, Streptophyta, Magnoliopsida, Solanales, Convolvulaceae.
GUGCUCAUGGCCUAAUGGAUAAGGUGCUUGACUUCUAAUCAAGCGAUUGUGGGUACGAGUCCCACUGGGCGUG